This 214-nucleotide ribosomal RNA is filed under the name uncultured bacterium. RNAcentral's name for it is "partial 16S ribosomal RNA". It matches the Rfam family "Bacterial small subunit ribosomal RNA", at positions 1287 to 1500 of the family's 1533-position model. The record is from RNAcentral.
CUCAGUUCGGAUUGUAGUCUGCAACCCGACUACAUGAAGCCGGAAUCGCUAGUAAUCGCGAAUCAGAAUGUCGCGGUGAAUACGUUCCCGGGUCUUGUACACACCGCCCGUCACACCAUGAGAGUCGGGAACACCCGAAGUCCGUAGCCUAACCGCAAGGGGGGCGCGGCCGAAGGUGGGUUCGAUAAUUGGGGUGAAGUCGUAACAAGGUAGC